Molecule: long non-coding RNA, 465 nt
Filed under: Bos indicus x Bos taurus (hybrid cattle)
Lineage: Eukaryota; Metazoa; Chordata; Mammalia; Artiodactyla; Bovidae
Description: lncRNA (ENSBIXG00005012965.1)
Source: RNAcentral
CUGGAUCAGGUUGCCAUUUCCUUCUCCAAUGCAUGAAAGUGAAAAGUGAAAGUGAAGUUGCUCAGUCGUGUCUGACUCUUAGUGACCCCAUGGACUGCAGCCUACCAGGCUCCUCCGUCCAUGGGAUUUUCCAGGCAAGAGUACUGGAGUGGGGUGCCACUGCCUUCUCCAACAGACAAGAAUGCUGAGGGCUCACCUGGGGGCCGAGGAGCUGGCGGAGACGGAGCCUGGCUGCCCAGAAGACGGCGGGGCCGGGCCCCAGCCUGAGACAGUGGCCGGGCGCUCCCCAGAGGAUGGUGGGGCUGAGGCCAUGCUGCGGCUGCAGCAGGAGGUCUCAGGGCUCCGAGAGGAGUUCAGGAAGCAGGAGGCCCGCUGGGCGGCCACCCACCGUGAGCUCCGGGCCCAGAUGGAUGCGUUGGUGAAGCAGAACCUCGAGCUGCGGGCUGGGCUAAGGGCCUCGGAGCG